This 149-nucleotide small RNA is filed under the name Jaculus jaculus (lesser Egyptian jerboa). RNAcentral's name for it is "7SK RNA (ENSJJAG00000006913.1)". It matches the Rfam family "7SK RNA", at positions 129 to 253 of the family's 331-position model. From Rfam's summary of the family: 7SK was discovered as an abundant small nuclear RNA in the mid-70s but a possible function has only recently been suggested. Two independent studies have found that 7SK RNA binds the CDK9/cyclin T complex (known as elongation factor P-TEFb). Lineage: Eukaryota; Metazoa; Chordata; Mammalia; Rodentia; Dipodidae. The record is from RNAcentral.
UCUUUACCUCGGUUGAAGAAGACAACCUUCCCCGAACAGAGGAGGACCGGUCUUCGGUCAAGAGUAUAAGAGUAGCUGCACUCACCUGCUAGAACCUCCAAACAAGCUCUCAAGGUCCUGUUUUUUUUUGUUGUUGUUGUUGUUUUUGU